RNAcentral lists this ribosomal RNA (306 nucleotides) under Triticum aestivum (bread wheat). RNAcentral describes it as "partial small subunit ribosomal RNA". Lineage: Eukaryota; Viridiplantae; Streptophyta; Magnoliopsida; Poales; Poaceae. The record is from RNAcentral.
AUGAAGAUCACGGCGUUCAUCAUGCUGAGGCCGUCGGCCGGAGGCGCCGGGGGCUCCUCCUCCACCGGCGGGCAGGGCUCCGAGGCGCUCAUGCUGGCCAACGCCACGGACGUCAGCCACUUUGGCUUCUUCCGGCGUGACACUACACGCGAUUUCAUUGUCUUCAUCGCCCGCACCGUCGCCCAGCGCACCCAGCCUGGCCAGUGCCAGUCCGUCCAGCAUGAAGGUAACCACCCAUCUCAGAUUUGCUUUCCGCUACCUGGUAUCUUUUACUUUGCAAUACUAGAGCAAGGGCGACAUGGGUGA